ACAUGUUAGCCUUUUUUCCUCUGCGACACAUGUCUUCUAUUCCACUUCAUUUUGAUGUUUCUAAUUCUUUCUUGGUUCUUCCGUGCAUUAUUGCUCUGUAAAUUUCCUUUUGCUUUCAUUUUUUGUCCUUCCUUAAACAAUGGAACAAGGAUAGCUAAACAAGACAUAUAUUGCAUGCCUGUCUUUACUGGUAAGUUUUCAUAUGAUCUUAUUUCUAUUUAAAUGCACCUUGUUAUUGUUAAUGAGAUUUUAAUGGGUAUCUGAUACUUCCUCUAUUAUUUUGGAAUUUUCGCUUGAUUUUCACACUCAUGGCGUUAAUUGUAUCAGAUUUGCACACUUAUGCACCGAGAGUGUUUGAUAAUAUGCCAAAGCCACUGAUUUUCAACUUUUUCUCAUUUGCUUGCCUUAUGUUAGAUUUUUUUUUCUUUCUUUUUAAAUAUAAUUUCUCACAGAAAAAUGAGAAGUUGAUAUUAAAACCUCUGCAAGAUAAUCUUAAAAGCGCCUGGUAUUAGAGAUUAUUUUUCGUAGUUAUAGCUAUAAGUUUAUCAUAGUACAUUGACAUGUAGUAAGAUUUCUCCAUGAAUUUAGUUGUUUCCUCUGUAUUAGCGUUAGGUAUUCUGGCUUACGUACCUUUGUGUAACAUCAGGUUCAUAUAAAUGACUUUUAGUACUACUGCAUUGUGCAAAUUCAAAGUAUUUGAUCAUAUAAGUGAAAUCACUAACUAUAUUUUAUUUUAUUUCUUUUUCAGCAUAUUCUCCACAACAUUCUGAUCUAUCAUUUAACAACUCAAAUGCUACAUUGUUAAGUUCUUAUUAGUUGUAUCAUAUAAUUUUCAUAUAUGCCAUUUGUUGCCAUUUGCAUUUCCAUUAGAAUAUGUCUACUAUCUACGUAACUUUAUUUGUGUUAAAAGGAGAAUUAAAUAUACCAUAUUGUUUUUAGGAUUUAUAUCAACUUACAGAUAUUAAUUUUGUAAAAUUGUAAACAACUUGUAAUACUUGCAACAUGUGUAUCCGGAAACGAGGAUACUAUAGAUUUGCUGCGUAGACCUUAAAAGAUUGAGGAACAUUGAAUUGUUAAUCGAAAUUUGUGACGUCGUGGUAGAUAUGCACAACUGUCUCUGAGAGAAAAUAAUUAUUUUUGUCCCAUCUACCAAUUAAAAGAGUUGGAUAAAAAAGGGCAAACACCAUCAAUAUUCAAAUAAUACACUUCCCUGAUGUAUAAAUCGGGGUAGAAGGCUUUGGGUUUGAGAUCCGAAUUUAAUAACAAUAGAAUACAUUCAAGUGGAAGUGGUAGAGAUGCGGGCUGAGAUGUCAAGCUGAAAAAUAGUAAAUUUUUCAGGUUAUCAAAAGAUUUGAGUGGUAAGUUUUAAAAGUUAUUUCGAUGUUUAAAUCAUAUAAACUAGAUUAAACUUUUUGCUAUAAUGUUGGGGAACUUGAGACUGGUUUGAUUAUUGACUCCAUAUUGUGAAGCAAAUAAAGAAUUUGUCACAGUUCGCCUCUCUUUAUUGAUGUACUUCAAUACUCAGUUACAUGCUUCUUAUUGUUGGAGAAAGUUUGUUUAGCUAACAUUCUAUUUUGAUUUUAUAAGAAAUGUGUUAGUCUGGUAUAGCGAAGAUAAGAUCCUUUCUUUAUGGCACUUCAAAUAUGUUAUGAAGAGAUAAGGAGUCUUUACAGAUAUAUCAAACAACUUUUGCCGUGCAUACUUGCCAGACCAUAAUUGUUAGUAUAACAAUUGAGAAAGUCAAAGGAAGAUGUUACAUGUGAAAUGCCUUACUUCCAUGAGAAAACAAAAAGAUUGUAAAGUGGAAGAAAGAAGUAUGCAUAAAGUUUAUGUGAACUGUAACUCUUUAAGUACUACUUUCUAUCAAUGUAUCUCUUCUCACGUUACUGCAACUUUCAGAUUUGAUAAAGUUAUAUGUGCCUUUAGCUUUGACCAGAUUUUUGUGUUAUUCAUGUGUUACAGCUUCUCUUUUUUCCUCUAAUGCUUGAAUUUUUCUUUCUUUUGCCUAUGCAGUUUGUUACCUCAUUAUUUUAAUAUAUUUUUAUACAAUGGAAAACAAGAUUCUUAAGGGGUUUUACACCGUCCAUGCAUUCUGGGAGCCAAAUUACAUUAAAUUGAAAAAUUCUCAAAUGCGCUAAAAACUUUGGAUCCAAAAUUGCACAUAUAAGUGUUAUAGUUUUGUAUAGUGAAAAAGGCGAAUAACUUGGUAAAGGAUUCUCUUUCAUUAGGUUGAGUUAUAGAUAGUUGGUCUGAUAAAUUCAGGGUUCACACAUAGUUAUUAUAAAGGUUAUAAUUGCUUAGGGUGCAUCAGUUUUCGAGAUUGAUAAAAAUGAGAACUUGGACCAACAAUUAAGGCAUAAUUUAUGAUCAAUAAAUAUUUGAUACAUGCCCUUUAUAGAUUCAUAAUACACAUAGAGUACCAUUGCUCGCAGCUGAUAAGAAUAUUGCACUUCAGUCCACUUUUGUUGUUCAUAACAAGUUAGAACUUUCUGUUUUUGUAGUAGAAACUCCUUUUCAUGUUGUAGUAUAGCCUUUUGGUUGCCUACUAACCAGAAUUUAAUUGUUUGAUGUUUGACUAAUAGAAUUGAGAAAGAAGGGGAAAAUCUUAGUGUGCUCAGCUGGACAAUGUAACAUCUGAGGACUACUUUGCAAUCCUUUUGUUUAUCUAUUUAAGAUAUAAAACUCAAUAGCUUUUCAAUAGCAUUUCUGAGUUCCUUUCAAGGG
This 2724-nucleotide long non-coding RNA is filed under the name Nicotiana tabacum (common tobacco). Its description in RNAcentral is "long non-coding RNA (NTAB_LNC007543)". Lineage: Eukaryota; Viridiplantae; Streptophyta; Magnoliopsida; Solanales; Solanaceae. The record is from RNAcentral.